This 429-nucleotide ribosomal RNA is filed under the name bacterium. Its description in RNAcentral is "partial 16S ribosomal RNA". It matches the Rfam family "Bacterial small subunit ribosomal RNA", at positions 355 to 776 of the family's 1533-position model. The record is from RNAcentral.
UAGGGAAUCUUCGGCAAUGGGGGCAACCCUGACCGAGCAACGCCGCGUGAGUGAAGAAGGUUUUCGGAUCGUAAAGCUCUGUUGUAAGAGAAGAACGUGUGUGAGAGUGGAAAGUUCACACAGUGACGGUAACUUACCAGAAAGGGACGGCUAACUACGUGCCAGCAGCCGCGGUAAUACGUAGGUCCCGAGCGUUGUCCGGAUUUAUUGGGCGUAAAGCGAGCGCAGGCGGUUUAAUAAGUCUGAAGUUAAAGGCAGUGGCUUAACCAUUGUUCGCUUUGGAAACUGUUAAACUAGAGUGCAGAAGGGGAGAGUGGAAUUCCAUGUGUAGCGGUGAAAUGCGUAGAUAUAUGGAGGAACACCGGUGGCGAAAGCGGCUCUCUGGUCUGUAACUGACGCUGAGGCGCGAAAGCGUGGGGAGCAAACAGG